UACGGAAGGCAGCAGUGGGGAAUAUUGCACAAUGGGCGCAAGCCUGAUGCAGCCAUGCCGCGUGUAUGAAGAAGGCCUUCGGGUUGUAAAGUACUUUCAGUCGUGAGGAAGGUGUUAAGGUUAAUAACCUUAGCAAUUGACGUUAGCGACAGAAGAAGCACCGGCUAACUCCGUGCCAGCAGCCGCGGUAAUACGGAGGGUGCGAGCGUUAAUCGGAAUUACUGGGCGUAAAGGGCACGCAGGCGGUUAAUUAAGUUGGAUGUGAAAUCCCCGGGCUUAACCUGGGAAUGGCAUUCAAGACUGGUUAGCUAGAGUCUUGUAGAGGGGGUAGAAUUCCAUGUGUAGCGGUGAAAUGCGUAGAGAUGUGGAGGAAUACCGGUGGCGAAGGCGGCCCCUGGCAAAGGACUGACGCUCAUGUGCGAAAGCGUGGGGAGCAAACGAGGGAUUAGAUACC
Molecule: ribosomal RNA, 454 nt
Filed under: uncultured bacterium
Lineage: Bacteria
Description: bacterial SSU rRNA
Rfam family: Bacterial small subunit ribosomal RNA
Source: RNAcentral